Molecule: ribosomal RNA, 433 nt
Filed under: uncultured bacterium
Lineage: Bacteria
Description: partial 16S ribosomal RNA
Rfam family: Bacterial small subunit ribosomal RNA
Source: RNAcentral
AACGAACGCUGGCGGCAUGCCUAACACAUGCAAGUCGAACGAGACCUUCGGGUCUAGUUGCGCACGGGUGCGUAACGCGUGGGAACCUUCCCUUAGGUUCGGAAUAACUCCCCGAAAGGGGGGCUAAUACCGGAUAAUGUCUGCGGACCAAAGAUUUAUCGCCUUUGGAUGGGCCCGCGUUGGAUUAGCUAGUUGGUAUGGUAAAAGCCUACCAAGGCGACGAUACAUAGCUGGUCUGAGAGGAUGAUCAGCCACACUGGGACUGAGACACGGCCCAGACUACUACGGGAGGCAGCAGUGGGGAAUAUUGGACAAUGGGCGAAAGCCUGAUCCAGCAAUGCCGCGUGAGUGAUGAAGGCCUUAGGGUUGUAAAGCUCUUUUACCCGGGAUGAUAAUGACAGUACCGGGAGAAUAAGCUCCGGCUAACUCCGUG